GCUCAAUGAUGCCUGGGAUAAAUGU
This 25-nucleotide non-coding RNA is filed under the name Rattus norvegicus (Norway rat). Lineage: Eukaryota; Metazoa; Chordata; Mammalia; Rodentia; Muridae. The record is from RNAcentral.